This 675-nucleotide ribosomal RNA is filed under the name uncultured archaeon. Its description in RNAcentral is "bacterial SSU rRNA". It matches the Rfam family "Archaeal small subunit ribosomal RNA", at positions 325 to 996 of the family's 1478-position model. The record is from RNAcentral.
ACGGGGUGCAGCAGGCGCGAAAACUCCGCAAUGCGCGCAAGCGUGACGGGGGAAUCCCAAGUGCCGUUGGUCUUAUGAUCGACGGUUUUUAGGAAGUCUAAGAAGCUUCCAGAAUAAGGGCUGGGCAAGACUGGUGCCAGCCGCCGCGGUAACACCAGCAGCCCAAGUGGUGACCACGAUUAUUGGGCCUAAAGCGCUCGUAGCCGGAUCAGCAAGUCCCUUGUGAAAUCGGGCCGCCUAACGGUUCGGCGUGCAAGGGAUACUGUUGGUCUUGAGGCCGGGAGAGGUCGGAGGUACUCCUGGGGUAGCGGUGAAAUGCUCUAAUCCUAGGGGGACCACCAGUGGCGAAGGCGUCCGACCAGAACGGACCUGACGGUGAGGGGCGAAGGCUAGGGGAGCGAACGGGAUUAGAUACCCCGGUAGUCCUAGCUGUAAAGCAUGCGGGCCAGGUGUCUAGCGCUCCUUGAGGGCGCUAGGUGCCGGAGGGAAGCCGUUAAGCCCGCCGCCUGGGAAGUACGGCCGCAAGGCUGAAACUUAAAGAAAUUGGCGGGGGAGCACCACAAGAGGUGGGACCUGCGGUUCAAUUGGAUUCAACGCCGGAAAACUCACCAGGGGCGACAGCUGGUUGACGGCCAGAUUGACGAUCUUGCCCGACUAGCUGAGAGGUGGUGCAUG